GCCCCUGUAGUCUAGCCGGCCAAGGAUAUCGGCCUCUCGAGCCGAUGACCCGGGUUCAAAUCCCGGCGGGGGCA
Molecule: transfer RNA, 74 nt
Filed under: Candidatus Aenigmatarchaeota archaeon
Lineage: Archaea; Nanobdellati; Candidatus Aenigmatarchaeota
Description: tRNA-Glu
Rfam family: tRNA
About the family: Transfer RNA (tRNA) molecules are approximately 80 nucleotides in length. Their secondary structure includes four short double-helical elements and three loops (D, anti-codon, and T loops).
Source: RNAcentral